RNAcentral lists this ribosomal RNA (253 nucleotides) under uncultured bacterium. RNAcentral's name for it is "partial 16S ribosomal RNA". It matches the Rfam family "Bacterial small subunit ribosomal RNA", at positions 524 to 776 of the family's 1533-position model. The record is from RNAcentral.
UACGUAGGGUGCGAGCGUUAAUCGGAAUUACUGGGCGUAAAGCGCGUGUAGGCUGACCGGAAAGUCGGGCGUGAAAUCCCUGAGCUCAACUCAGGAACUGCACUCGAAACUCUCGGUCUAGAGUGGUGGAGAGGGAAGUGGAAUUCCUGGUGUAGAGGUGAAAUUCGUAGAUAUCAGGAGGAACACCAGUGGCGAAGGCGGCUUCCUGGACACCAACUGACGCUGAGACGCGAAAGCGUGGGGAGCAAACAGG